Molecule: ribosomal RNA, 250 nt
Filed under: uncultured bacterium
Lineage: Bacteria
Description: partial 16S ribosomal RNA
Rfam family: Bacterial small subunit ribosomal RNA
Source: RNAcentral
CGCUGACGAGUGGCGGACGGGUGAGUAAUGCAUAGGAAUCUGCCCAGUAGCGGGGGAUAACUUAGGGAAACUUAAGCUAAUACCGCAUACGCCCUACGGGGGAAAGCAGGGGAUCUUCGGACCUUGCACUAUUGGAUGAGCCUAUGUCUGAUUAGCUUGUUGGUGGGGUAAAAGCCUACCAAGGCAACGAUCAGUAGCUGGUCUGAGAGGACGAUCAGCCACACUGGGACUGAGACACGGCCCAGACUCC